Mus musculus (house mouse) is the source of this 1126-nucleotide long non-coding RNA. RefSeq annotates it as predicted gene 6934. The record is from RefSeq and is marked validated. NCBI's taxonomy places the organism in Eukaryota, Metazoa, Chordata, Mammalia, Rodentia, Muridae. The transcript has 4 exons.
GCAGUGUAGAGCGCGGCGCGGGCGAUCGGGGCGCCCCCACGAGAGCCCCCCGACGCUGGCCGGGGGCCGUGCGUGCCUGGGGCGCCGCGCUCUCGCCUCUCGCCCGCGUGGGGGGCUUGCGGACCCCACAGCGGGAGCGACCGGGCCCGGCCUGCCUCCCCCGCGCCCGCGGCCGCUUCUCCCCCUGGCGGCAGGAUCCUGGGCGGCCGGUGGCUCCGAGAGCGCGCAGUGGAGCCCGAGCUGAGCCGAGCCCGAGCCACCGCAGCCGCCACAUCCCUGAGCGCCGCCCGGGUGCAGGGUCGCUGCGGGAGAGCGACCCCGCGGCCGCCAGGUUUUGCUCUAGAAACCUUCAUCUCUGCAUCCUGGGAGUGGGUAGCUCUGGGUAGCAAAAGCAGCUCCAUGUGCAGAAAGCAGAUCUGUGCAAGGAGAAGUAAGCCCUCAUCUCUCUGAAAAUGGGCCCUUGUUGAUAGCUGACCCUGUGCCAAGCUCUCCAUACCCAAGUCCUGCUGGGAGAAAGCUGGUCUCCCAGGAGUGCUGACACACAGGCUUACAAGAGGGACAAGCCACAGUCAGAGACAGCAAGACAAGCUAACACAACAGAUGACCAGAUGGGACAAAGAGUGGAGCAGAGACUGAAGGAAAGGUCAUCCAGAGACUGCCCCAAUUGGGGAUCCAUCCACAUGCAGACACCAAACCCAGACACUAUUGCUGAUGCCAAGAAGUGCUUGCUGACAGAAGCCUGAUACAGCCGUCUCCUGAGUGGCUUUGAUAGAUCCUGACCAAUAUAGAUGUGGAGGUUUGCAAACAACCAUCAGAAUGAGCACAGGGACCCCAAUGGUAUGGUGUAUAGUUAGGGGAAGGACUGAAGGAGCUGAAGGGGCCUUAUCUGGCAUCAAUGGGAGGGGAGGUCCUUGGUCCUGUGAAGGCUUGAUGCCCCAGUGUAGAGGAGUGCUAGGGCGCUGAGGUGGGAGUGGGUAGGAGGGUGGGUGGGGAGCACCCUCAUAGAAGCAGAGUAGUGGGGGAGUGGGUAGGGGGUUUGCAGAGGAGAAACUGGGAAAGGGGAUAACAGUUGAAAUGUAAACAAAUAAAAUAUCCAAUUAAAAAAUAAAAAUAAAAAAUAAAAAAA